This is a long non-coding RNA of Chelonia mydas (Green sea turtle), 708 nucleotides long. RefSeq lists it as uncharacterized. NCBI's taxonomy places the organism in Eukaryota, Metazoa, Chordata, Testudines, Cheloniidae. The transcript has 3 exons. The record is from RefSeq and is a predicted model, not a curated record.
UGCUAUUGGCUGUGCUAGCCGCGUAGGGCGAGGCCAGUCAGGGUCCCGAUGCAGAGAGGGGGCGGGUAACUUUUGGCGGCUUCCAUCCCCGGUGUGGUGAGCGCGGGGGCGGUGUUGUGGGGGCAUCUCGGAGGAUUUUCUGAGUUUCCAGUGAUGGGUCUGUGGUCUUGGAGCUGCCCUUGGUUGGUUGUACUCGGGGCUUACCAGGCUUGCAGAGAGAGCAUCUGUCUGAGGAAGCCGAGGCAUGCCUGUUAGUGAUUCAAAUCACCUACUCUGAAGAAAUCUGAAUGUGGCUUCAGUGGGAAUUUUAAGGAAAUCUACUGCACUCCUAAUGUUGCAGAUGUUCCUGCUGCGGAAGCCAAUCUCAUACCAUUCUGAAGACCUGUAAUAUAUGAUAAAAAUCAGUAAUAUUUAAAUGAAGUUGCAGUGCUUAUACAAGUCCCUCUAAUUUGUUCUUGUAAUCUGAAUUGGAUUGUCUAUUAUAAUGGGUACCUAGUUUCUAAAUUGAUUUGUAACACACUUCUAGUGAAAUACUUAAGCUCUAAAAUUCUUCCACUGUAGAUAUUACUCACGUUACAUAAUACAACAUUAUUCAGUACCACACAGCUGACCCUUAUGUAACUCAUGUUGGCUUCAUUAGGUAAAAACUAGCUAUACACAAUCCCUGGAUAAUUAAAACUAUUAGUAAACUCUUGUGAAAUAUGCUAA